CGGCGAACGGGUGAGUAACACGUGGGUGAUCUGCCCUGCACUUCGGGAUAAGCCUGGGAAACUGGGUCUAAUACCGGAUAGGACGAUGGUUUGGAUGCCAUUGUGGAAAGUUUUUCGGUGUGGGAUGAGCUCGCGGCCUAUCAGCUUGUUGGUGGGGUAAUGGCCUACCAAGGCGUCGACGGGUAGCCGGCCUGAGAGGGUGGACGGCCACAUUGGGACUGAGACACGGCCCAG
Molecule: ribosomal RNA, 234 nt
Filed under: uncultured Actinomycetales bacterium
Lineage: Bacteria; Bacillati; Actinomycetota; Actinomycetes; Actinomycetales
Description: partial 16S ribosomal RNA
Rfam family: Bacterial small subunit ribosomal RNA
Source: RNAcentral